ACGGAAGGCAGCAGUGAGGAAUAUUGGUCAAUGGACGGAAGUCUGAACCAGCCAAGUCGCGUGCGGGAUGAAGGCCCUACGGGUCGUAAACCGCUUUUGUACGGGGAUAAAGUCACCCACGUGUGGGUGUUUGUAGGUACCGUAAGAAUAAGGAUCGGCUAACUCCGUGCCAGCAGCCGCGGUAAUACGGAGGAUCCGAGCGUUAUCCGGAUUUAUUGGGUUUAAAGGGUGCGUAGGCGGGACGUUAAGUCAGUGGUAAAAGCGUGUGGCUCAACCAUACCAAGCCAUUGAAACUGUCGUUCUUGAGUGUAAACGAGGUAGGCGGAAUGUGACGUGUAGCGGUGAAAUGCUUAGAUAUGUCACAGAACCCCGAUUGCGAAGGCAGCUUACCAGCAUACAACUGACGCUGAGGCACGAAAGCGUGGGUAUCAAACAGGAUUAGAUACCCUGGUA
This 453-nucleotide ribosomal RNA is filed under the name uncultured Paludibacter sp. RNAcentral describes it as "bacterial SSU rRNA". It matches the Rfam family "Bacterial small subunit ribosomal RNA", at positions 341 to 792 of the family's 1533-position model. Lineage: Bacteria; Pseudomonadati; Bacteroidota; Bacteroidia; Bacteroidales; Paludibacteraceae. The record is from RNAcentral.